UUGAAGCCCCAGUAAACGGCGGCCGUAACUAUAACGGUCCUAAGGUAGCGAAAUUCCUUGUCGGGUAAGUUCCGACCUGCACGAAUGGCGUAACGACUUCCCCACUGUCUCCAGGAUAUGCUCAGCGAAAUUGAAUUCUCCGUGAAGAUGCGGAGUACCCGCGGUUAGACGGAAAGACCCCGUGCACCUUUACUACAACUUCACACUGGCAUUAGGCCGAACAUGUGCAGGAUAGGUGGUGGGCUUUGAAGCGUGGACGCCAGUCUGCGUGGAGCCUCCCUUGAGAUACCACCCUUGUUCUGCUUGAUGUCUAACCGCGGUCCGUUAUCCGGAUCCGGGACCCUGUGUGGUGGGUAGUUUGACUGGGGCGGUCUCCUCCCAAAGAGUAACGGAGGAGCACGAAGGUUGGCUAAGUACGGUCGGACAUCGUACGGUUAGUGUAAUGGUAGAAGCCAGCUUAACUGCGAGACAGACACGUCGAGCAGGUACGAAAGUAGGUCAUAGUGAUCCGGUGGUUCUGAAUGGAAGGGCCAUCGCUCAACGG
Molecule: ribosomal RNA, 544 nt
Filed under: Dinophysis acuminata
Lineage: Eukaryota; Dinophyceae; Dinophysales; Dinophysaceae
Description: partial Bacterial large subunit ribosomal RNA
Rfam family: Bacterial large subunit ribosomal RNA
Source: RNAcentral